GAUGAAGAACGUAGCGAAAUGCGAUAAGUAAUGUGAAUUGCAGAAUUCAGUGAAUCAUCGAGUCUUUGAACGCACAUUGCGCCCGCCAGUAUUCUGGCGGGCAUGCCUGUUCGAGCGUCAUUUCAACCCUCAAGCCCUCGGGUUUGGUGUUGGGGAUCGGCGAGCCUUUCUGGCAAGCCGGCCCCGAAAUCUAGUGGCGGUCUCGCUGCAGCCUCCAUUGCGUAGUAGUAAAACCCUCGCAACUGGAACGCGGCGCGGCCAAGCCGUUAAACCCCCAACUUCUGAAUGUUGACCUCGGAUCAGGUAGGAAUACCCGCUGAACUUAAGCAUAUCAAUAAGCGGAGGA
RNAcentral lists this unclassified non-coding RNA (346 nucleotides) under soil metagenome. RNAcentral's name for it is "partial contains 5.8S ribosomal RNA, internal transcribed spacer 2, and large subunit ribosomal RNA". The stretch from base 1 to 120 matches the Rfam family "5.8S ribosomal RNA", at positions 35 to 154 of the family's 154-position model. The record is from RNAcentral.